This 1948-nucleotide long non-coding RNA is filed under the name Anas platyrhynchos platyrhynchos (common mallard). RNAcentral's name for it is "lncRNA (ENSAPLG00000027843.1)". Lineage: Eukaryota; Metazoa; Chordata; Aves; Anseriformes; Anatidae. The record is from RNAcentral.
GUCAUGAUAGACAUCCUUAGUGCUCUCACACACUGAUGCUUUCCUUUCCCUCUGCCCAUGGUUGGGAGGGAACUGGUGGCAUCCAGCACUGGCUCUUCUCCCACACUGAAAGCCCUGUAGGACCCAGGGAUUUUUUCCUUCUUUCCUUCCAGCACCUCACAGAAGUCUCACUAAUACUAUUGGUAUUAAUAUUUAACCUGGUGAAGCACAUGAGGCUGUAGGGUACAUCUGACUGGAAGGUCCAGGUUCCUGCUCAAAGCCAGGCUGAUUUAAUCCAGGUUGCUCAGAGCCUUGUCCAGGCUGAUUUUGAAUACCUCUGAAGAUGGAGCAUCUCUGGGCUCCUGCUCCCUCUGUGCAAUCUUUGCUUGUGCUGGGUUGGAGUUUCCCUUGCUGCAGACUGUUCCUGUGUCCUCGUCCUUUUGCUGUCACCCCGAGGAGAUGGACCCUGGGGAUCAGCCUGGUGGGGCUGGCAAGGAGCACAGGAGGCGGUACAGUGGGCCAGCUCUGACUACAUCUGGAAGUGUCCCUUACUUUUUCCUUUUAAAGGAAGGUGCCAGAAACUCUCCACUGACGACAGCUUCUGCUUUAGGCAACCUCUUCAUGCUAAUUAUUAUAGAUUGGCUCCAGCAAUGAAGUAAGACUUCAAAGUAAGAGUAAGACUAUUACUCUUUUAAUUAAGAGUCAACUUAAAUCACCUUUAGCAAAGCAGCAUUCAUACCCAAUUCUUUCUGCCUCCUUACCUUCAACAGUGCCCUGUAGCAUCAAGCACAUCCACAGCAUAAUUCAGGCAGGAAUUUUCUCUUGUAUUUGAGUUGAUUCUGUGUUUAAUUUCAUUGCUGUUCCCUUCCUACCACCUCCAGCUUGUGCCUUGAGACAGGAAGAACAUGAAUAUCCCUUCUGCCUUCUCCAAGGUCCUCGCUUCUCAUCCCAGAUGGGAGCUGGCUGUAGGGUCUCCCCUGCAGCUGACCUGAACCAUGGGCUCAGCAGCUCUAUGAACAGCUCUGAUAGUGCUGCUGCACAAACGGUAUCUUCCAAGAGGGGCAGAGCCAACAUCUGGAGGACAGAAACCUCUGCAGUCACCCUACAAGCUAAAUGGUUCCUGCUCAUGAAAUGGGACUUUCAGCCAGCAAAUGCUAGCAGUGGCAUGAUAGAAGCCAUAUCGAGUCAUGACUGGAUUUCUCUGAGAGCCUGAAAAUUGUAAUCCAGGUCUUUCUUCCAUUACUAAUGGUUCACAGCAACAUGGCUUUCAGGGCUAUGUCAGCAGAACCACAGAUGAUCGUAUUAAAAGAAAGAGAUUCAUUGUCGCUGUGUUAUUGCACACCGCUGUGUUUCCAGGUAGCGUUUCUUCAGUGUGCUCUCAACCUGGGAGUCAUUAAAGCAUUCUGCUGAAGUGAAUUCUGUUCUUUAUCUUUCAUAAAACCAGGAACAGACCAUCCCUGUAUGCCUACAACACAUUUUUUUUCCCUGCCCUUUCUGUAAACAGGGUGUCUGCUGUCCCUUGUUACUGCAAAGCCACAGCACCUCUUGGUCUUUCACAUCACGUCGCUGAGGCAGGGAAGUGUACCAGCUGCCAUUUAAUGAUGGGGGACUAAGGUCCAGUGGGAAAAAGGCAGGAAAGAGAGAUUCAGACACUUUCCUAACCAAAUCCCAAGUUUGUUUCUUACUCUGAUGGUGAUCCCUUAUUGGCAAUUAUUGAAAGGGGCUGAAAUGAACAAUAGUUAGAAAACAAUGCCCAAACGGGAUCGGAUAGAAGGCUUACCUAAUUUGUUGUCCUUGUGUGUGUAGGAAAUAGUGAAGAUGUUUGUAAAAUGAAGAUUAUAGGAACAAGACAAACAUACCUAAUAAUAGGAGCAUCUCUCAACCAUUUUCUGGUCAGGGAUUUUCUGUACAAGUAACAGUUGUUACUUCCUCUCCCAUUAGCUUGUCAGGUGUCCAGUGAAACCGAGCA